GAUGAACGCUGGCGGCACGCCUAACACAUGCAAGUCGAACGAACCUUUUUGAACUUUAAUCUCGAAGCUCUUUAUGAGUCUCAAGAUACGAAGCCCAAAAUCGUUAGUGGCGGACGGGUGAGUAACACGUUGGAACCUGCCCCGAAGAGGGGGAUAACUACCCGAAAGGGUGGCUAAUACCCCAUAUACUCCGAUUUAUUCGGAGGAAAGCUUUUGCGCUUCGGGAGGGGCCUGCGUAACAUUAGCUUGU
RNAcentral lists this ribosomal RNA (250 nucleotides) under uncultured bacterium. RNAcentral's name for it is "partial 16S ribosomal RNA". It matches the Rfam family "Bacterial small subunit ribosomal RNA", at positions 28 to 249 of the family's 1533-position model. The record is from RNAcentral.